RNAcentral lists this ribosomal RNA (911 nucleotides) under uncultured bacterium. RNAcentral's name for it is "bacterial SSU rRNA". It matches the Rfam family "Bacterial small subunit ribosomal RNA", at positions 396 to 1343 of the family's 1533-position model. The record is from RNAcentral.
CCCGCGUGUGUGAUGAAGGUCGAAAGAUUGAAAAGCUCUUUUCUGAGGGAAGAAUUCUGACGGUACCUUAGGAAUAAGCACCGGCUAACUCCGUGCCAGCAGCCGCGGUAAUACGGAGGGUGCAAGCGUUACCCGGAAUUAUUGGGCGUAAAGCGUCCGCAGGCGGUUUGUUAAGUCGAAUAUUAAAUCUUGAGGCCCAACCUUAAGGCUGUAUUCGAAACUGACAAACUAGAGUUUUUCAGAGGCAUGUGGAAUUCUGUGUGUAGGGGUAAGAUCCGUAGAUACACAGAGGAACACCAAAAGCGAAGGCAGCAUGCUGGGGAAAUACUGACGCUCAUGGACGAAAGCGUGGGGAGCGAACGGGAUUAGAUACCCCGGUAGUCCACGCCGUAAACGAUGGAUACUAGGUGUUGGAGGACUCGACCCCUUCAGUGCCAAAGCUAACGCAUUAAGUAUCCCGCCUGGGGAGUACGAUCGCAAGAUUAAAACUCAAAGGAAUAGACGGGGACCCACACAAGCGGUGGAGCAUCUGGCUUAAUUCGAUAAUGAGCGAGGAACCUUACCUAGGUUUGACAUCCCGAGAAUUUUCUAGAAAUAGAAAAGUGCCUUACGGAACUCGGUGACAGGUGCUGCAUGGUUGUCGUCAGCUCGUGCCUUGAGGUGUUCGGUUAAGUCCGUGAACGAGCGCACCCAUGUCCUGUGUUGUAUUUUUCACAGGAGACUGCCGAUUCAAAGUCAGAGGAAGGUAUGGAUGACGUCAAUCAGCAUGGCCCUUAUACCUAGGGCUGCACAGGUGCUACAAUGGCUAGUACAACGGGUAGCAUGUCUAAGGCGGAGCCAAUCCUUACAGCUAGUCUAAGUUCGGAUUGAGGCUGCAAUUCGCCCUCAUGAAGUUGGAAUCGCUAGUAAAC